AUUGAACGCUGGCGGCAGGCCUAACACAUGCAAGUCGAGCGGAUGAAGGGAGCUUGCUCCUGGAUUCAGCGGCGGACGGGUGAGUAAUGCCUAGGAAUCUGCCUGGUAGUGGGGGAUAACGUCCGGAAACGGGCGCUAAUACCGCAUACGUCCUGAGGGAGAAAGUGGGGGAUCUUCGGACCUCACGCUAUCAGAUGAGCCUAGGUCGGAUUAGCUAGUUGGUGGGGUAAAGGCCUACCAAGGCGACGAUCCGUAACUGGUCUGAGAGGAUGAUCAGUCACACUGGAACUGAGACACGGUCCAGAGUCCUACGGGAGGCAGCAGUGGGGAAUAUUGGACAAUGGGCGAAAGCCUGAUCCAGCCAUGCCGCGUGUGUGAAGAAGAUCUUCGGAUUGUAAAGCACUUUAAGUUGGGAGGAAGGGCAGUAAGUUAAUACCUUGCUGUUUUGACGUUACCAACAGAAUAAGCACCGGCUAACUUCGUG
This 484-nucleotide ribosomal RNA is filed under the name uncultured bacterium. RNAcentral describes it as "partial 16S ribosomal RNA". It matches the Rfam family "Bacterial small subunit ribosomal RNA", at positions 30 to 507 of the family's 1533-position model. The record is from RNAcentral.